Punica granatum (pomegranate) is the source of this 639-nucleotide non-coding RNA. NCBI's taxonomy places the organism in Eukaryota, Viridiplantae, Streptophyta, Magnoliopsida, Myrtales, Lythraceae. The record is from RefSeq and is a predicted model, not a curated record.
UUCCCUGUUUGCUCUGUUUUUCGGGCUGGGAAAAAAAUUGAAGAAAGAACAGAGGACAACAGAGGGAGAGAGAGAACAUACGAGAGAGAGAGCAUACGAGAGCGAGCUAGAGGAAGAUGGGUUCAGAGGGGGCCUCUAGGGGGAAGAAACGAGCAUAGAGCUCGUAAUAGAGCGGAGCCUAGGAGGAGGAAGGAAUAAUCGAGUGGAUAAUUGGGAUAUGGCAGCAGAUUGAGAGUUGAGCGAGUAGGGGGAAAUGGGGGAGCACUAGAGAGGAAGAGUUUAAGCUUAUAAUUGGGGGCUGAGGACAGCAAUAUUAUGCAUCCUGAAAGUCAAGUUUGAUGAAUCAUUUUGGGUGUUCGAUAAGCUUCCGAUUGCACGGAGGAACCACUUUUUGAUAUCGGGGAUCAGCUUGGAGGACUAGGUAGAAGUCUUAGUUAUUUGAUAAGUAUUCUCCUUGUACAUAAUGUAUUUGAACAUGUUACGACCUGAAAUUUUUGUUUAGUUGGUUAGUGAUGUGGUUGAGAAAAGUUACUCCCUUUUGAGAUAGAUAUAUAUAUAUAUGUGUGUGUGUGUAUAUUAGAUAUUGCUGGAUUGGUUAUAUAUUUUUGAGAGUUAUGGAAAGCAAAUUUUAUAGGAAUA